This 253-nucleotide ribosomal RNA is filed under the name uncultured bacterium. RNAcentral's name for it is "partial 16S ribosomal RNA". It matches the Rfam family "Bacterial small subunit ribosomal RNA", at positions 524 to 776 of the family's 1533-position model. The record is from RNAcentral.
UACGUAGGGUGCGAGCGUUGUCCGGAAUUAUUGGGCGUAAAGGGCUUGUAGGCGGUCUGUCGCGUCGGGAGUGAAAACUCAGGGCUUAACCCUGAGCCUGCUUCCGAUACGGGCAGACUAGAGGUAUGCAGGGGAGAACGGAAUUCCUGGUGUAGCGGUGAAAUGCGCAGAUAUCAGGAGGAACACCGGUGGCGAAGGCGGUUCUCUGGGCAUUACCUGACGCUGAGGAGCGAAAGUGUGGGGAGCGAACAGG